RNAcentral lists this long non-coding RNA (249 nucleotides) under Olea europaea (common olive). RNAcentral's name for it is "long non-coding RNA (OEUR_LNC000557)". Lineage: Eukaryota; Viridiplantae; Streptophyta; Magnoliopsida; Lamiales; Oleaceae. The record is from RNAcentral.
GGGAUUUGGCUGAGUAGAGGAGCAAUUUUAGUUUCUACAUAUCGAAAGGUAUGUAUUGCUCAUUUUUUACAGAGCAUAAAUUGUUGACUUUCUCUAAAUCAUUGGUGUUUUGCUUUACUGACCACGAAAGCUAAAAUUCUUCACUCAUACUAUAUUAUUUUUACUUUAUUAAUCCAACCCCUUCGUUGGGUUUUUGUGAAUUUUUUAUUGUGCCCUUGAUUUGUUGUUUGUUGCUUUGUAGAUCAUAAC